CUUCUAACGCUACCUACGCUCUCGAAGGCCAAGAGGGGUACGGCUGGUCCCAAGUCCAGAAUGAAAGAACGCGGAGGGGAAG
RNAcentral lists this non-coding RNA (82 nucleotides) under unclassified sequences. The record is from RNAcentral.